GACGAACGCUGGCGGCGUGCUUAACACAUGCAAGUCGAACGCUGAAGCUCAGCUUUUGUUGGGUGGAUGAGUGGCGAACGGGUGAGUAACACGUGAGUAACCUGCCCCCUUCUUUGGGAUAACGCCCGGAAACGGGUGCUAAUACUGGAUAUUCACUGGUCUUCGCAUGGGGGUUGGUGGAAAGGGUUUUUCUGGUGGGGGAUGGGCUCGCGGCCUAUCAGCUUGUUGGUGGGGUGAUGGCCUACCAAGGCUUUGACGGGUAGCCGGCCUGAGAGGGUGACCGGUCACAUUGGGACUGAGGUACGGCCCAGACUCCUACGGGAGGCAGCAGUGGGGAAUAAUGCACAAUGGGCGCAAGCCUGAUGCAGCGACGCCGCGUGAGGGAUGGAGGCCUUCGGGUUGUGAACCUCUUUCGCUCAUGGUCAAGCCGCAACAAUGGUUGUGGUGAGGGUAGUGGGUAAAGAAGCGCCGGCUAACUACGUG
RNAcentral lists this ribosomal RNA (483 nucleotides) under uncultured bacterium. RNAcentral's name for it is "partial 16S ribosomal RNA". It matches the Rfam family "Bacterial small subunit ribosomal RNA", at positions 28 to 507 of the family's 1533-position model. The record is from RNAcentral.